AGAUUGAACGCUGGCGGCAGGCCUAACACAUGCAAGUCGAGCGGAAACGAGUUAUCUGAACCUUCGGGGAACGAUAGCGGCGUCGAGCGGCGGACGGGUGAGUAAUGCCUAGGAAAUUGCCCUGAUGUGGGGGAUAACCAUUGGAAACGAUGGCUAAUACCGCAUAAUGCCUACGGGCCAAAGAGGGGGACCUUCGGGCCUCUCGCGUCAGGAUAUGCCUAGGUGGGAUUAGCUAGUUGGUGAGGUAAGGGCUCACCAAGGCGACGAUCCCUAGCUGGUCUGAGAGGAUGAUCAGCCACACUGGAACUGAGACACGGUCCAGACUCCUACGGGAGGCAGCAGUGGGGAAUAUUGCACAAUGGGCGCAAGCCUGAUGCAGCCAUGCCGCGUGUGUGAAGAAGGCCUUCGGGUUGUAAAGCACUUUCAGUCGUGAGGAAGGUAGUGUAGUUAAUAGCUACAUUAUUUGACGUUAGCGACAGAAGAAGCACCGGCUAACUCCGUGCCAGCAGCCGCGGUAAUACGGAGGGUGCGAGCGUUAAUCG
This 542-nucleotide ribosomal RNA is filed under the name Vibrio campbellii ATCC BAA-1116. Its description in RNAcentral is "SSU rRNA". It matches the Rfam family "Bacterial small subunit ribosomal RNA", at positions 26 to 547 of the family's 1533-position model. The record is from RNAcentral. Lineage: Bacteria; Pseudomonadati; Pseudomonadota; Gammaproteobacteria; Vibrionales; Vibrionaceae.